This 254-nucleotide ribosomal RNA is filed under the name uncultured bacterium. RNAcentral describes it as "partial 16S ribosomal RNA". It matches the Rfam family "Bacterial small subunit ribosomal RNA", at positions 524 to 776 of the family's 1533-position model. The record is from RNAcentral.
UACGUAGGCAGCGAGCGUUGUUCGGAGUUACUGGGCGUAAAGGGUGUGUAGGCGGUUGUUUAAGUUUGGUGUAAAAUCUCCCGGCUCAACUGGGAGGGUGCGCCGAAUACUGAAUGACUUCGAGUGCGGGAGAGGAGAGUGGAAUUCCUGGUGUAGCGGUGAAAUGCGUAGAUAUCAGGAGGAACACCGGUGGUGUAGACGGCUCUCUGGACCGUAACUGACGCUGAGACACGAAAGCGUGGGUAGCAAACAGG